RNAcentral lists this ribosomal RNA (253 nucleotides) under uncultured bacterium. Its description in RNAcentral is "partial 16S ribosomal RNA". It matches the Rfam family "Bacterial small subunit ribosomal RNA", at positions 524 to 776 of the family's 1533-position model. The record is from RNAcentral.
UACAGAGGUCCCAAGCGUUGUUCGGAUUCACUGGGCGUAAAGGGUGCGUAGGUGGCCAGGAAAGUCUGAUGUGAAAUCUUCGAGCUCAACUCGGAAAUGGCAUUGGAAACUAUUUGGCUGGAGGGUCGGAGGGGGGACUGGAAUUCUCGGUGUAGCAGUGAAAUGCGUAGAUAUCGAGAGGAACACCAGUGGCGAAGGCGAGUCCCUGGACGACUCCUGACACUGAGGCACGAAAGCUAGGGGAGCAAACAGG